UUGCUCAAUCGCCGCCCCGGCAGAGCACUCCAUUGCCUCUCCCCGGCCUUCGCGCCGCUCCCCUUCUCUCUCUCCGCGCCGUUUCCUUUCCUCUGCUCCAGCAGCUAUAAAAGGAAUGCCCCCGUCGCCGGAGUUCCCUCCGCUCUUGUUGCCUUCAGCCUUCUCUAGCUCUCUGCUCAAGCUCCUAGCGCCACCCACCCAGUUCUUGAGGAGUUCUUCCCUCAGUUCUCUUUCAGUUUUCUCCAAGUCACCCAGCAGCUUGCUCCUCCGUGCUGCGUAAAAGCUCUCUUGUGAUCCGCAAGAAGCAGCGCCGCCGCCGGAGCAUUGCCAGUCUUAGCCCUUGCUCGAAGCUUUAGUCCCUCCGCCCAAGUCAGCUUCUUCCCAACCCCACGCUUUCCUUUCAGGAAGAAGGUGAGUAGCCGACCCCAGUCCGCCUCGCCCGACCCCUCCUAUCCGCCCGACCCCGGUUCCGUCUCGCCCGACCCUGUCUGUUCCGCCGACCCUUAUCCGCCUCGCACGAGGGCUUGGCUGUGAUCUUUUUCUUCAACUCGAGGGUGUAUGUGUAAAACUUGGGAACCCUUCAGCACUUGCGUCUAAGGACCCCUAGCUUAUCACACCCUCUAGUUCAAGGAUCAGACCACUAGUUCCUUUC
This 652-nucleotide long non-coding RNA is filed under the name Setaria viridis. Its description in RNAcentral is "long non-coding RNA (SVIR_LNC005581)". Lineage: Eukaryota; Viridiplantae; Streptophyta; Magnoliopsida; Poales; Poaceae. The record is from RNAcentral.